GUUAACAGGGACAUCUAGAUAGCCACAGUCUACCGGUCUCAGUGCUAAAUACCCUAGAGGUUGCCAAAGGUCCAGAAGACGUUGCUGGCUAUUGUUACCAUUAUUGAUCGCAGUUUGUUACUUGGAUAAAAGGUUGAUCCAUCUAGUAAUGUGUUCACCGCCCAGCUUCAUCAUCAAGAACAUAGAAAUUAUGUAAAUUGUGUAUCAGCGCUAUUAUAGGAUGGAGGAUGCCUUGUGGGAGAAGUCAACGAACAUGGGGAGAUGACUGGUGAGAAGAUUGCUUAUGUUUACCCAGAUGAAAAUACUGCCCUCUGUGGAAAGUUUAUUGAUGGAGAAAAGUUAGAGGCAAAAUUGGCUACUGUUGCAUCUGUGGAGGAAGGAAAGCCAUACUUUGAGAUUGUCACUGGUAGUAAUAUUUAUACAUUUGAUAAGUCUACUUCAUCCUGCAUUUCUACAAGUCCUUUGCUUCCGGAUCCCUAUGAAAUGGAAAGGUGAGUGUAAUAUGUCAAAUAUGUAUAUGAGGUACUAUGAUUUAUAGCUUGCUAAAUAUAGUUGUGUGCAUACACUGGCAGAAUUUUUAAAGUGAGUUCCAUUUUUAGAAAACCUAAAUGAUCCAGCAGACCACCCAUCAUAAAAGGGGUGGGUUAUCCCUCAAAAAAUAUUGGGAUUAGUUAAAUGGUCACUGUUCAAAAAAUAAUAAUAAUAAUAAUUUCAUUUACCAAUAAUGACUAACUUAGAAAAACACCUCUAAAGUUUUGGCCAUUAGGUGUCUCAUUUCUGGGGCAGUAAACAGGCAUACAGCCUCCAGCCAUACUCUGUAUAUGGCUGAAGGCUGUAUGUCUGUGGGGGAACUGUACUGCACCUAAUGUGGGGAACUGUACUGCAUCUAAUGUGGGGAACUAUACUGCACCUAAUGUGGGUAAAGUGUACUGCACCUAAUGUGGGUGAACUGUGUGGCACCUAAUGUGGGGGAACUGUAGUGCACCUUAUGUGGGGGAACUGUACUGCUCCUAAUGUGGGGAACUGUACUGCACCUAAUAUGAGGAACUGUACUGCACCUAAUGUGGGGGAACUAUACUGCACCUAAUGUGGGGAACUAUACUGCACCUAAUGUGGGGACUAUACUGCACCUAAUAUGGGGUAACUAUACUGCACCUAAUGUGGGAACUAUACUGCACCUUAUGUGGGGACUAUACUGCACCUAAUGUGGGGUAACUAUACUGCACCUAAUGUGGGGAACUAUGCUGCACUUAAUGUGGGGGAACUGUACUGUACCUAAUGUGGAGAACUAUACUGUACCUAAUGUGGGGGAAAUAUACUGCACCUAAUGUGGGGGAACUAUACUACGCCUAAUGUGGAGAACUAUACUGCACCUAAUGUGGAGAACUAUACUGCACCUAAUGUGGGGGAACUGUACUGUGCCUAAUGUGGUGGAAACUAUACUGCACUUAAUAUUGGGGAACUGUACUGCACCUAAUGUGGAGGAACUGUACUGAACCUAAUGUGGGGGAACUGUACUGCAACUAAUGUGAGGGAACUAUACUGCACCUAAUGUGGAGGAACAAUACUGCACCUAUUGUGGGGACUAUACUGCACCUAAUGUGGGGGAACUAUACUGCACCUAAUGUGGGGGAACUGUACUGCACCGAAUGUGGGGGAACUGUACUGCACCUAAUGUGGGGGAACUAUACUGCACCUAAUGUGGGGAAACUGUACUGCACCUAAUGUGGGGAAACUAUACCGCGCCUAAUGUGGGGAACUGUACUGCACCUAAUGUGGGGGAACUAUACUGCACCUAAUGUGGGGAACUGUACCAACAUAAUGAAGUUCUCCGUCUUCCAGGCAGCCUUAAUCUGGCCCUGGUUAUAAUACUGUAGAUGAACUAUU
Molecule: long non-coding RNA, 1887 nt
Organism: Hyla sarda
Lineage: Eukaryota; Metazoa; Chordata; Amphibia; Anura; Hylidae
Exons: 4
Source: RefSeq, a predicted model, not a curated record